UCUCUCUUAAAUAUUUACCACUAUUUUAUACAUUCAUAUAUAAAUGUCUAGCACUUCACAUUUUUAUAAAAUGUGAUGAUAAUACUGUUAAAGAUAUGUCUUCUUUUUUAUUGGUUUAGUUCAUACACCGGGUUUAUGGAAAAAUAAAAAGAUCUCAUGAGAAUUUAUUUUGGUGGAUCCUAAUUUAUAUUGGAAUCCUAAGUGGACUAGGAUUGGUUUCCAUAUAAGACUCUAUAUUCAAUUAUCAUAUCGAAUUAGAGUAGGAUUGAACUAAUGCAUCCAUGUAUAAAUAUGCAUUGGAACGUCGAGGAGCGCCGUGUGGUGGCCAAAAUUAAUUAAAGACGCUAAUUAAUUAAAGGUGGCCGGCUCUAAUAGAGGGAUGUACGGUUUCGUGGGUGCAUGGUGUGGAGGCCAAAUUAAUUAGCAUUCGGUGACUAGCUAAUUAAUUAAAGAUGCCCUGUCCGUACGGUUAAAGAAGAGAGGUUUGCUCGCAUGCGACGGAUUGAGGUCGGCGGCGGAGCGGUGGUUCUCGAUCAAUUGCCUGAGCGGUUCGGAUUCUUCGAAACAACGACAUAAAAGAAUUUAGUUAGAGUUUCUAUACUUCUCAAAUUUGGUUUUCUCGGUUUUACGAAAAACUUUUUCGAUAUUUUUUUGGAGUUUUUUUUUUUGUUGUAACAAGAGAAAUGUGGGAUUUACCAUAAGGCUCUUCAUUUUUUAUCCGGAGAAGACAUAAGAUGUAAGCUUGUACUUCUAUUUUUUCAUAUAGUGGAAUACAUCUCUCUUGCUCUCCCCAUAGAUGUAGGCAAUUGCCGAACCACGUAAAUCUUGAUUUCUUCUUUCUGCAUUUAUUUCUUUUACCGCUCGUUCGGUGUUUUCUCUAUUUUUCGUACAUCUUUGUUAGUAGCGCAUGACGGACGAUCCAUCCGGUUCCCAACAAACACAAUAGCGUUUAAUUAAAGCAUACCAUGGGUUAUUUUCAUUAAGGUAAAUUAGGUCUGGAUCUUACUCUUUCCUUUGUAAAGUAUCACACAUACUACAAGCUUUUCUCUUAAUUUAAUCAAUUUUUUAUAUAUUUAUAUAUGUUUGGCACUUUUACAUUUUCAUAAGAGGUGAUGUUGCAUAGAAUGGUGUUCAAUUGAACAAAAUAGAUCGUACUUGCAUUAUUUUCGAACUUUGAGAAAAAAAAGUAGUUCUGGAUUUUACUCUUCCCUUCUUAAGAGUAUUACACAUAUUAUUAGCAUUUUAUGAUGAGGCAACUUGCCUGCAGCCUUAGGGCUAGGGCAACAGUUGCAUCCUUUCGCUCUCAAUAAGAUUUCAGCAAAAGAAAAGAAGAGCAAAAACUAAUUUUGCUAUGUAGCGAACUCAUCAACUAUGUAUUGUUGUUUGGAAUAAUAAAUGACAAUAUGCUCUUAUUUUCUUUUUCAUUUCUCUAAACGUCUUUCCUCUUUGUCGUCUUGAGCCUUUUUAUAUACUUAUAUUUUCCUUCCAUUUUUCUAAUCGAACAUGCAUUCCUUUUUGUCAUCUUGAACGAUUUUAUUCUUAGUCUGUCCUAUUAUUUUUAGAUGUGUUAAAAUAAUUAAACUGCCCAGGCUCUUUGUUUCUCAGAUUGGGCCUUAGAGUUGCUCGUCAUAAGUCACACAUAUAAUUUAUCUUGCACAUGCCAUACUUUUGGUAGAUAAAUGAAUAUUUCUUUAGGUGAAAAAUAUAUAGUUUAAGUAUGCACACUUAAAAUUAUAUAGAUUUUUUCUCAGUAAUCACGCUAUUAUGGGAGAUCUGUCCGUCGGAUUUGCAAAUGGGCUGCGCCAGCUCUUCCGGUACUGUCGAACCAUCGAAACCACAAUUUUGUUUUAUUGCCUAAACUGGUCGCAGAUUCGCGACGAAACUAAUCAUCUCUNUAUAUAUAUAUAUAUAUAUAUAUAUAUAUAUAUAUAUAUAUAUAUCAAAUUUAAAUAAGAAUUCAAAUUCAAAUUUGAAUUUUUCUUGAUUCAAAAAUCUCAGAUAUUAGAUUCCUGGAAUUGGAGAUUUUGUUGGAAUUCCUGCAAGUUUUGGAGCAAUCUGGUGGUUCUUUGGAGCCUUUUUUUUGUUGGAUUAGCAUUUCUAGGUGGGUUUUAUUCACCGUAGAUGAUAGAAUUCUCACACUGUCUAUAAUUUCAUGCAUACUGAUUAUUAGUAUUCAAGAAUCCCGAUUACAUGAUGUUUCAUCCAUGUUUCCAAGCCUGCAGUAAUCUGCAUAUUGAUGGUAUAGAGUACACAUGUUAGGAUGAUGUUCCAACUAUGGUUUAGUAUACUUGUAAUAAUCAGUUUGUGAGGAAAUUUAUGGAACCUGAUACUAGUCCAUGUCAUCGCAUAUACCUACGCUAUGCAUUUUUUUUUUAUUUUAUGUCAGGUUGAUUGGCAAUGUUCUCUCAUCAGUCGCAGCCAUCUAGUUGCAUUCCACAUUGUGUCGAGGGCACAUGAAUAGCGCUUUCUAUGAUAUAGUUGAUCAUUUGCGUUGACUACAAUCUGUAAAAGCUGUAUUAAUACACACUGUAUACUUAGUGUGGUCGCGCCCCUUAAGUACCGCUCUAGAGUCUGACUUUAGCAUUGAUGUUGCAACAACCCUAGUGAGCGACCUACGUUUUAAUCGGGCGCCAGCAAAAGUGGUUCUGUAGCAGUAGGUAGGCGUAGCCUUGACUGGAUCCUCCGGUCAAUAAGCGAGAUUGGAUUAUAGUUGGCCUUGACUAGAUCCUCCAGUCAAUAAGUGAGAUUGGAUUAUAGUUGAGAGUAUCUAUAGUUUGUUGAUGCAUGCUAUUCAUCAGUUUCUAGUUUGAGCAUCUACAGUAUAGAGGCAUGGUAGCCGUAGAUUUCUUUUUCAGCUUAUAUCAGUAUAUCUUGCUUUACCGUUAAGUUACAAUUCUCUAUUCUUGCCUCUAGUAGAUCUAGUGGGUAGGAAGUUGACGUCCGUAACGGUACCCACUAGGAACUACUUAUUUAAUAAAUUGUCACGCCCCGAGGUCCUUUUUGGUUUAAAAAUCGAUGCGCGGAAGUGCCCAAUUUUUUUUUUUUUUGAAAGCCUUGACCCCAGAGGACGUCAGAUCCGCCACAAAUACAGGAAGCCACUGUUCACACGGACAGAGUCUCCCCUGUAUAUGCACAACGUAGCACAAAUACAAGAUACAACCACAAUGUAUAACCAUACACAUACAAUCACCACAUCAUAUAUACCAUUUUACACUUAUCCAAUCACCAGUUUAUCAUAUUUUUAUCAUAAAUCCAAAACUCCUUUUAAAACUAUUUUCCACACGAAAACCUUUUCUUUUAAAAACACGCUACCACGCAGGGUAGAACAUCAUUUUCAUCUCAUAAGAAAACCAUAAGUACUUUAUUAUUUUCACAAAACCAUAAACAUUCACUUGAUUAAAACCACUGAACCAUAAAGUGUCUAAGUUAGUAAACAGAAAUAGUAAAGGUAGAGACUAAACCGAUGGACCGAGUCGAAAGCUCUACGACCACUAAUCACGCGCCUCACGUACCGUCCCGACUCGGACCAGCAAUGUCACCUGAAAGAGGGGUGGGGGUGAGAAUAUGUACAUAUGUCUCCCCUCCCAGUGGGUACCGUAAGCCGACGAAGGCGGGGAGUACUCACCGGUACAGGAAGAGAUAAACAAAGUCAUGAGUAGAUAUCACAAGUACAGUAGCAAUAAAACUGAAAGGAAGGUUGAACAGUACUAAAACAUAUAACUACCGCUACUGUAAAGUAGAACCAAAUGCAUACAUGGAUAUCAAAGAUGUGGUAUCCCUGGUGUACAGCUGUUGAGGCUUGUCGACAGCUCUGGAGAGUGUCGGGACAAGUCCGAGUCGUGUUGGCGCGAAAUAGACGCAAAACAGACUCAGCGGGGACGCGAGAGCAGGACUUAGCUUUGAAUUGUAGAUUUUCUGCUUGUUGUACCGAUACAAUUAUCAAGGCAUACCGGUACACUUUCUGUACCGGUACAACCAACAGCGGUGUACCGGUACACUUCACCAGGAUUUUACGCAGCUGCUCUCGGGUUGCCAUUUGUACCAGUACACGGGCAAAAAUUACCCUACGCAUAACUUGGAGCUUGCCGCGGUAAUCUUUGCUUUGAAGUUGUGGCGGCAUUACUUGUACGACGAGCACUGCGAGGUUUUCACCGAUCAUAAAAGUCUCAAAUAUCUGUUUACUCAGAGGGAGCUGAACCUUAGGUAGCGCCAGUGGUUGGAGUUACUGAAGGACAAUGACGUUAGUAUUCAGUAUCAUCCCGGCAAGGCGAAUGUGGUAGCAGAUGCGUUGAGCAGGAAGGCCGUGUAGAGCUUCGGUUUGAUGAUCACACAGCAGAGGCCGUUACUCGAGGAGCUGCAGUGGCUGAGACUCGAGAUAGUGUCCCUUGGAUCUACUGCGAGACUGAAGUCUUUAGUUUUGCAGCCCACUCUGUUGGAUAGGAUCCGAGAGAAACAGAGUGGAGAUCCACACUUGUUGAGAAUUUGAGAGCAGUUAGAUAGGGGACAGGCUGAGGGCUUUAUAGUAGACAGUUCGGGAGUACUACGGUACAGGGACCGACUGUGUGUGCCUAUGGAUUCAGAGAUCCGAGCAGAUAUUUUGAGAGAGGCUCAUUGUGCUCCUUAUACGGUUCACCCUAGUGGAACCAAGAUGUAUAAGGAUUUGAAAGCACAGUUCUGGUGGAACGGAAUGAAGAGGGACAUUGGCAGAUUUGUGGCUCAGUGUCUAACUUGUCAACAGUUAAAGGCCAAGCAUCAGAUCCCUGCUGGCAAGUUUCAGAGUCUCUCAGUGCCCGAGUGGAAAUAGGAGCAGAUCAUAAUGGACUUCGUCGUGGGAUUAAUUACCGAGAGCACAGGGUGGUUUCGAUGCUAUUUGGGUGAUAGUGGACAGACUGGCUAAGUCUGCUCACUUCCUACCAGUUCAGACCACUUGGUCCAGAGAGAGACUCGCACAGCUAUACCUGAAUGAGAUUGUCAGGCUGCAUGGUGUGCCGAGGUCGAUUGUAUCUGACUAAGACCCGAAGUUUGUUUCACACUUUUGAAGGAGUCUUCAGACAGCCUUGGGUACACAAUUGCACUUCAGCAUGGCGUUUCACCCACAGACAGAUGGUCAGUCAGAGCGGACCAUACAGACUCUAGAGGACAUGCUAAGGGCAUGCGUCCUGCACUUUGGUGGAGGGUGGCAUCGACAUUUGAAACUGGCUAAGUUUGCGUACAAUAACAGCUAUCAAACGAGCAUCCAGAUGGCUCCGUUUGAGGCGUUGUAUGGACGCAGAUGUCGAUCCCCUUUGUUUUGGAGUGAUGUGGGUGAGAAGAAGACGCUAGGACCUGAGAUCUUACUAGAGGCUGAGGAAAAUGUGAGAGUAGUUCGACGACACCUUUUGACAGCUCAGAGCCGCCAGAGGAGCUACGCCGAUACCAGGAGACGAGACUUAGAGUUCUAGGUUGGAGAUCAUGUUUUUCUCAAAGUCUCGUCGUCCAGAGGGAUUGGCAGAUUCGGAGUGGGUGGAAAGCUCAGUCCAUGUUUCGCUGGCCCUUUUGAGAAAUUGGAACGAAUUGGACCGGUUGCUUAUAGGAUUGCUCUACUUCCCCGACUAGCCGGUAUCCACGAUGUAUUCCACGUCUCGGCUUUGAGGAGAUAUAUUUUCGAUCCUUCUUACGUGAUCGACUUCACUCCAUUAGAGAUUGGCGAGGAUCUGAGAUAUGAGGAAAGACCGUUGCAGAUUCUUGCUCGGGAGAUGAAAGAAUUACACAACCGGAUCAUCCCAUAUGUAAAAGUACAGUGGAGUAAUCACGAGGAGUAGGAGGCAAAUUGGGAGCGAGAGACGGUGAUGAGGGAGUCUUAUCCCUACUUGUUUGAUGCUUAGGGUUGAGGUACGUGUUAAGUUUCGAGGACGAAACUUUUUGUUAAUGGGGGAGGAUGUGGCAUCCCUGGUGUACAGCUGUUGAGGCUUGUCAACAGCUCUGGAGAGUGUCGGGAUAAGUCCGAGUCGUGUUGGCGCGAAAUAGACGCAAAACAGAUUUAGCGGGGACACGAGAGCAGGACUUAGCUUUGAAAAUCUGUAAAUUACAGAUUUUCUGCUUGUUGUACCGGUACAACCAUCAAGGCGUAACGGUACACUUUCUGUACCGGUACAACCAACAGGGGCGUACUGGUACACUUUGCCAGGAUUUUGCGCAGCUGCUCUCGGGUUGCCAUUUGUACCGGUACAACUGCUCUUGUACUGGUACACCAGGAUAGGUGAAGGGCAGUUUGGUCUUUUCCUUCCUCGUUCGUGUCACCCACCUACUCCCUGCUAUAUACUUGUAUAGGAGGAGCAGAGAGGGAGACUUUUGGGUUGUUCUUUUCCUCUCUCUCUCUAGCUUGGAUCGUGAGCAAGGAGGAGCUCAGGUGGAGUUGGUUCGUCGUCGAUGUCGUGCCGCGGUGCCGUUCGAGCGUAUAUUCGUCAUCGUAGCAUCGCGAGGAGGUCGGGCGAGGGUGCGAUUCCGCCGUUCUCGACGUCGUGCCGGAUUGGGAUUAGCUAUCGAGGUGGGUAAAGCGUCGGUUAUCUUCUAAGUAUAUAGAUUGUCGACAUGUGUUGUUAUAUUGUUUCGUUGAGAGAAAUUGCUCGAUUCAUGGAUUUUGGCAUGUUUAACUGUAGAAUCUGGAGCUUAGUAUUGCGACUAAGUAUUUACACAUGAUGGACUUGGAUAUGACUUAGGAGAAAACCUGCGAUUUGAACCUGUCACAUGCUUAAACUAUCUGAUUUAGCUCUAGGAGUCGUUGUUAUUUUGUAUCGCCGCAGUAUCGGCGUGGUGGAUACCCCAGGUAGUUUAGAUUUCAGUUACGCUCGCGCUGGAAUGCCGAGUGUAUUUUUACAGUAGCACUCAGACUGUUCCGGACUGUUGGGGGCCGUCGGGGUUGAUGGUGGACCUCUAUCGCCGUUUUGGCGUGAGAUUGUGCUGAGAGCACAUGACCUGUUGGUUGUUAGACCAGUUGGACCCUAUUACUUGACUUCAGCUUGUGAGAGCCUGAUUGAGCUCGACAGAGAUACGCUGCAUACUCGGUUGGGUAGCUCCCACGAGUGCCACUCCGGAGACGGGCAUUGUGCUUUCGCGUUAGUGUCGUUCGUGCAGGUUGGACUUGCUCUCUACGGACCGCUUAGUGUGGAGGUAGCUGUAUAGUCGCAAUCGGGCAGGACACGUGUGUUCACAGUCCCAAGGACGGGUAGGCUUACUAUAACACACUGGACCUGUGCAAAUUGCGAGGUUUGAGUGAUUGGAUGUGUUUCGAGCUUCUCCACACUGGUGGAGGGUCGUAGAAUGUUUUCCGACCUAAGAAGUUCGAAAACCUGUGUUCGGGACGAGUCUUGAGAGUUUUCACUCUCGGGGACCGGUCCCUGAAAGGAGAGACCGGUCCCCCAGUGAACAGUGCUGCGCAGCCGGCGAGGCAACCGGUCCCGCGCAGGGAGAGACCGGUUCCCGAACGUUGGUUUUUCGGGUUCGCAGCGAGAGACCGGUCCCUGCUGGGGAGAGACCGGUCCCUCUGGGCGAAAACUGCCCAGACCGGGCUGAUGUAAUAUUUUUUUUUUGAGGGGCCUCUUGGGAUUUUGUUGCAAUAGAUGGUCUAUAUGACCCAUCCAUCCUCCUUUCUCCUCAUUUCCCUCCUCACACUCUCCCCACACCCUUGCUAGAGAGAGAAGAAGGAGAAGAAGAGGAAGGAGAAGAAGAGGAGAAGGAUCUAGCUUGGGCUUGAAGCAUUCCUUUGCCUUUCUUCCUCUUCCCACCUUGUUGGUGCUUGAAGGCUUGGACUUGGAGCUUGCAAAGGAGAAGAUCUUCACCCUUGGAGCUUGGAUUGGAGUUCUCUUGAGGUUGGUUGUUUGUUUCUUCCCUCUAGACCUAGCUUUGAUGGAUUUUAGGGGAUGAAACCCUAGAAUGGGAAAUCUAGGGUUUAUUUGGGGCUUUUUGAUUGAAGGUUUUUUGGGCUAAUCUAAUGAGAUUAGAACCUUGGUUUAGGUUGCUUUGGAAGGAUCCUAGCUUUCUCUUGGAGCUUGAGAGAGAGAUUCUACUCCUUAGGUGAGUUUUUGCCCUAUUCUUGUGAUUGUUAAUGUUUGAGCCUAGAGUUGCUCGUAAUGCUUGUGUAUCUCUUCGCUGAUCACUUUAGGGAUUUUAGACUCUGUGAACUUCGUUCGGCCGAAACGAAGCCUUACGCGACGAUUCGGCUUGGGUUUGACCUAGCUUUAAUAUGAGAAAUUGAUAUAUUAUGGUGAUAAAUGUUCGUAAAAUGGACAGCAGCAUAUUCCACUAAUGUUAUAUUUUUUAUUUUGGAAGGCUUAAGAUGCCUAUGUAUACGAUGUGUAUGAAAUUUUGCAGUUCCUUAUGUAGUAGAGCAUAAGUUAUAAGGCUCUGCGCGCGAUUUUGGCAUCCUUUAUGUGGGAUUAUGUUCUUGUGUGAUAAAUUGAGCUUGGAUUCAUGUAUUGAACCUAGUUUAAUUGAGCAUGAAAGUAACAAAAUUAUGCCUUAAAAAGGCACCAACUGAUGUCAAUAUGAUUUAGAGAGCUAAAUGUCAUCAGAGCGCAUUGAGCUCGGGACAUGGUUGGAACUAGUUAAUAAGAGCCUGAGGGGAUUGGGAACAUGUUGAACUUUAAAUUGUUAAGUUUCAAGGGCACAUAGGCAUAUAAAUGUUGGGACUUCGACUUGUGAUUAAAAUAGUCUUUCGAGGAUGCUAUGGACAUUAUACCAUGUUAGAGACAUGGAUGAUUGCGAUACUUGGAGCGGUUGACUAGCAUUGACUUGCAAUUGUGCUCAUAUCGAACUGCUUGUGGAGAGUCGGCUCCUACAUAGCUGGCACUCGAGUUAGCUAACGCGACUUAUUUUGUUCGUGCAGUAUUGAGAAGCCUACGGGUCGAGUGGGACAGACACAUUCCAGAGUAGGAUGUUGUCUACCAAGGCCUUAGCACACAAGCCUGACUACUGUUGGUAGGUCCUUAAUUGGAAAUGGAAACGACACAGUGUGAGAAUGAACUAAAUCACUAUAGAAAGGCUUAGUGUGGCAUUAAUCUUGACAUUGCUCAAUUACAUAGCAUUGGGGAUAUUAGUUAUACUUGCCUGUUUCAUUUCAUUGUAUCAUCAGUACUAUGGGUUGCGUUUGUAGAGCUUACUCCUUUUGUAUUGACAUAUUGCAUCGUGAGGUUUACUUGUUAUGGCAUAUUAGUAUGCAUUGGACAUAUUAUCUUAUGAUAGCGUAGAUGUACAUCACCAUGACAUCAUGCUUACUCGAGACAUAGUAGUAUAGCAUUUCAUUUAUGCUUUCUUUCAGCAGGUCUUACUCGCUCUUUAUUGUUUAUUAUUAUUGUCGUUACUUACCCUUUUCUUUUGGGGCCUAGUGGUGCAUUGAGCUGACAUCAGUAAUUGCCCAUUUGGAACUAUAAAUUAUAAUUCUCACGCCCUCUAUUUUAUGUUUUCUUUCAGAGCCUUCCACGCCGGGAGAGGCUAGGGACCGAGGGAAGGGCGUGGCUUCGAGCUAGCUCUUCAGCGAGUGACGAGUCGCUAGGUAAUCUUCCUCUCUAUGUUUUUAUUUUGGAGAGGUUGAGAGCUGUACCAGUGUACUAGAGACCACCCCUUUUGUGUACCUUUAUGGACAGACAUUGUAUAUCUUUAUGUUUCACUCUUUUCGCUUUAGUAAACCUCUUUUACUUUAUUAUAGACUAUAGAUCUAUCCGUGCUCUGAUAUCUCUAGAUGUAGAUUACUUUUGAUUUUAUUUUCUGCUGUUGUUGUAGACGCCUUAUAUGUGCUGACAUAUGGCGGGUCUGGCCACGCUACCGGGUGGGCCUCUGCCGGUCCCGGGGCGUGACAAAUUAUUUUGGUAUCAGAGUCUAGGGUUGAGUCUUAGAGGACCUAGGAAACCUUAGGCCGGUUGGAUUAUAGGAACUAGGCUCGUGCGAGACGAGGUCUAUUGACUUGUGAGCAAAAGUAUUUUGAUUGGGUUUGGUGAUAACUCUAAAAAGUUAGAGUUUGACCGGAGUGUAUGGCUUCUAACUUCGCGGAGGGUACGUUGGCGGCCGACAACGUAACAUCGGGAGUUAGUAGCGAAGGACACUUCCUUGCUUUCGCAAGAUUUGGGUUUAUCUAUUUGAGCGGGGAUUUGAUAGCGCGGGUUACUAACUUGCGCUUUUAUGUUCUGUAUUGACGAUGCCGAUUACACGCUCCCAGUCUGCCGGGGCGGAUGAUGCGGCACACCCUGAGGAUGCCGAGACCUCCGCUACUUUCGGAUCUAGUGAGGUCCGUGAUUUGAGGACCCAGCUUGCGGCCCUCACUGAUCUGUUGGCGCAGCAGACGGCAGCGGCGCAGCGACAAGCUGAGGUGGCUCAGCGACAGGAGGCACGGAUGAAGCAUCUUGAGGACCUCCUACUUCAGCAGGCAGCAGCUUCGAGGGAAACCCAGGGUCCCACACUGCCAGCACCCGUGGUGGACGUCGCACCGAGAGCGCAGUCCCCCGCGCCCAGUUCUUCACGUGCGGCACCGGCGACCACACCUCGGGAGGAGGUGGCUGCGGUACCUCCAGUUCAGAGACCGGCCACGGAGGCAGCUUUCCCCGUAAGGGCCGAGGGAGCCGAGCGGGAUCGGCUCAUGGAUCGCCUCAGUGAGUUUAGGAGGUGCAGCCCGAGGACGUUUGAUGGCGAGAACGUUGACCACUGGAUUGUUGAGAAGUGGUUGAUGCACAUGGAGAAGCUUUUUCGAGAUACCUUUGUGGAUGAGAGGGACAGAGUGUGGCUCGCCGCACACUUCUUGGACGGCGAGGCCUACCGUUGGUGGUUGGAUAUUCUGGACAACCCCAACACUGAUUUGGCAGCGAUCUCUUGGGCGAGGUUUAAGGAGAUGCUUCUGCCGCACUACUUCCCGACCAGCGCCAAGAGGAAGAUGGAGCAGGAUUUGCACAGCUUGCGCCAGGACGAGCGGUCAGUGGCCAAGUACGAGAGGGAGUUUUCCCGGCUACUUCACUGUGUACCGUUUGUUGUGAGGGACGAUGAGGACAAGGCCCGCAUUUUUUAGCGUGGAUUGCGGCCUUCGAUCUUCCGGUUGGUGCAGUCCUCCAACCUCCAAACCUACCGAGAGGUUGUCGACCGUGCACUCCUUGUGGAGGCUGGAGCGGCAGACCUUCAGGAGUGAUGCGAGGCCCUAGACAAGGGCAAGGGAAAGAGGCCCGCGGCUGAGGGUGUGAGCCAGACGCACUCACGGAGGCCGCCGAGGCAUCCAAGGAGCCGGAGCCAGUCGCGAAGACGUGGCUAGUCUACUCAGCGAGGAGGACCCGAUAGUCGCCAGGCUCCCUGCUGCGUGAUCUAUGGCGGUCCUCACUACCCGCGGCAGUGUUCACACAGCCGGGGCAGGUGCUUCUUGUGUGGCCAAGAGGGCCACUUUCAGUCGGACUGCCCGAGAGGUUCAGCGCCAGCGCUAUCUUCGGCAUCCGCACCAGCGUCGCCAGGUCCCAGUCAGGGGAUAUCUUCUGCGCAUCACCUGGCAGGACGGCCGCCAGUUCAGCGGCAGGGGGACGGGUCACGACAGGCCCCGAGUGGGCCCAUGUAUGCGGCCCAGACUGAGGAGGCGGCAGCAGCCGAGAAUGUGGUCGCAUGUAUCAUUUUACUUUAUGGUAUUCGAGUUAGAGCCUUAUUUGAUACCGGUGCAUCGCAUUCAUUUAUAUACCGGCUGUUUGCCGAGUUGCAUGGCAUCCCACUUGUAUCCUUGUUGCAUCCAGGACGAGUUGUUGUACCCGAUCAUUCUUUGGACAUUCGGGAGUUUUGCCCUAGUUGCCCUGUUCGGGUUGGAGAUUGGAUCAUGCCCGUAGACCUUUUAGUGGUGCAUAAACUCGGGGAGUUUGAUGUUGUCUUGGGCAUGGACUGGUUGACUAAGUACUGUGCCACUAUCGAUUGCAAGGAUCGAACGGUGACUUUUAGAGAGCCGGGGUAGGCUGAGGUUGUGUACCGAGGAUGCCAGAGUUCGCUUUUUGCGAUGACGAUUAGCUCUUCUCGAGCUCGGCAGUUGAUUAGUAGAGGCUACGUAGCCCUUUUGGUUACUGUUGUGUUGAGGGGUGAUGAUGAUGCCCCCAAGAUUGAGGACAUCCCCGUAGUACGGGAGUUUGGAGAUGUGUUUCCAGCUGAGCUUCCAGGCAUGCCACCUGAUAGGGAGAUUGAGUUUGUGGUAGAUCUCGUUCCCGGGACUACCCCGAUCUCAAAAGCACCCUAUAGGAUGGCACCAGCAUAAUUGAAGGAGCUGAAGGCAUAGUUACAGGAUCUUUUGGACAAGGAUUUUGUGCGACCGAGUGUGUCACCUUGGGGAGCACCGAUCCUAUUUGUCAAGAAAAAGGAUGGAUCGCUUCGCUUGUGCGUGGAUUAUCGUAAACUCAAUAAAGUCACGAUUAAGAACAAGUAUCCAUUACCGAGGAUUGAUGAUCUAUUUGAUCAGCUCCAGGAAUCUUGUGUAUAUUCCAAGAUUGACUUGCAGUUGGGAUAUCACCAGUUGAAGAUCAAGCCUGAGGAUGUGUCAAAGACGGCUUUUAGAACACGGUAUCGGCAUUACGAGUUUACCGUUAUGCCGUUUGGGCUUACUAAUGCCCCGGCCGCCUUUAUGGAUUUAAUGAACCGUGUUUUCAAGCCUUAUUUAGACAGGUUUGUCGUGGUGUUCAUCGACGACAUUUUGGUCUAUUCCAGAAGUGAUGCGGAUCACGAGGAACACUUGAGACUUGUACUUCAAGUGCUUCGCGAAAAGCUCUAUGCCAAGUUGAAAAAGUGUGAAUUUUGGCUUAGAGAAGUGGCGUUUUUAGGUCAUUUGAUUUCAGGAUCGGGGAUAACUGUAGAUCCAAGAAAAAUUGAAGCUAUCAAGGAUUGGCCGAGGCCGACGAGCGUGACCGAAAUACGGAGCUUUAUUGGUUUGGCCGGCUACUACCGACGUCGAGGGAUUUGCAAAGUUAUCUACUCCCGUCAUGAGGCUCACGCAUAAAGGGACUAAGUUCAUUUGGAAUGACGCGUGUGAAAGGAGCUUCCAAGAGUUGAAGCAGAGAUUGACGACCGCCCCGAUCCUUACCUUGCCGACUGCUGGAGCAGGGUAUGUGAUUUAUAGUGAUGCUUCCUUUAAUGGAUUGGGCUGUGUUCUGAUGCAGGAUGGGAAAGUGAUCGCGUAUGCGUCUCGCCAACUAAAGGAUUAUGAAAGGAAUUAUCCUACUCACAACUUGGAGUUGGCGGCCGUAGUCUUUGCUUUGAAGCUAUGGCGCCACUAUCUUUAUGGCGAGCGGUGUGAAGUAUAUACGGAUCACAAGAGCUUAAAGUAUUUAUUCACUCAGAAGGAGUUAAACUUGAGGCAGCGCAGAUGGUUGGAGCUGCUCAAGGAUUAUGACUUGACUAUUCUUUACCACCCUGGCAAGGCUAACGUGGUGGCGGAUGCGCUAAGUAGAAAAUCGACGAAAAACUUAGCGAUGCUUAUGGUUACUCAACAGCCGUUGAUCGAGCAGAUGAAGCGGUUGGAGUUGGAGGUGGUGGGUCCUGAUACACCCUUGAGAUUGAUGACCUUGGUGGUGCAACCUACACUUGUGGAAAGGGUUAAAGAAAAGCAAGCUUCCGACUCGGAGUUGCAAAGGAUUCAAACUAAGAUGGUUAAUGGUUGCACUGGUGAUUUCACUACGGACAGUGAUGGAUUGAUGCGUUUUCGCAGACGACUUUGUGUACCGGCGGACUUGGGCGUUAAAGAGGAUAUUCUUCAAGAAGCGCACCGAGCACCGUAUGCUAUACAUCCGGGAGGCACCAAGAUGUACAAGGACUUGAAGUUGCUUUAUUGGUGGCCCGGGAUGAAGAAGGAUGUUGGUGAGUUUGUUGCCAGAUGCUUAACUUGCCAACAGGUGAAAGCUGAGCACCAAGUUCCUGCGGGAAAGUUGCAGAGUUUGCCUAUUCCCGUGUGGAAAUGGGAAAAGAUCACCAUGGAUUUUGUAAUGGGAUUGCCUCGCUCACAGGCUGGGCAUGAUGCUAUUUGGGUGAUCGUGGAUAGAUUGACGAAAUCAGCACAUUUCAUACCUAUCCACACUACUUGGACUGAUGAGAGACUCGCACAGGUUUAUUUGGAUGAGAUUGUACGAUUGCACGGGGUACCUACUUCAAUAGUAUCGGAUCGAGACCCCCGUUUUGUAUCCUAUUUUUGGAGGAGCCUACAGGACGCUUUUGGUAUGCGCUUGGAUUUCAGCACUGCUUUCCACCCCCAGAGUUACGGGCAGUCGGAGCGUACUAUACAGACACUCGAGGACAUGCUUCGGGCCUGCAUGAUUGACUUCCAGGGAGGAUGGUCGCAGCAUCUACCGAUGGCAGAGUUUGCUUAUAACAAUAGUUAUCAAGCAAGCAUCAAGAUGGCACCGUUCGAGGCACUCUAUGGACGGAAAUGUAGAUCGCCACUUCAUUAGAGUGAAGUUGGCGAGAGAUUGGCUUUAGGCCCAGAUGUGUUCCAGGAAGCAGAAGACAAGGUUCGCAUUGCUCGGGAGCGACUGUUGACAGCCCAGAGUAGGCAGAAGAGUUAUGCUGAUCGGCGUCGACAAGACUUGGAAUUUCAGAUUGGAGAUCAUGUCUUCUUGAAAGUCUCGCCGACUCGAGGGAUUAAGAGGUUUGGAAUCCGGGGUAAGUUGAGCCCCCGAUUCAUUGGACCGUAUGAGGUUUUGGAACGUGUAGGCCCGGUGGCGUAUCGACUCGCUCUACCGCCAAACCUAUCGGGUGUACACAAUGUGUUUCAUGUAUCGGUCCUUCGAAAAUACAUCCACGAUCCGGCUCACGUGCUGGACGUCACGCCUAUGGAGCUGAGGGAUGAUUUGAGCUUCGAGGAGCAGCCGUUGAGGAUUUUAGCUCGCGAGGUGAAAAGAUUGCGGAACCGUGAGAUUCCCUACGUGAAGGUGCUUUGGAGCAACCACGACGAGCGCGAGGCCACUUGGGAGCUGGAGAGCGCAUUGAGGGAGCGCUAUCCCUAUCUUUUUCAGAUGGAGACUUGAGGUACUUUGCUUUUCGAGUUUCGCGGACGAAACUCCUUUUUAGGAGGGGUAAAUGUAACACACUGGACCUUUGCAAAUUGCGAGGUUCGAGUGAUUGGAUGUGUUUCGAGCUUCUCCACACUUGGUGGAGGGUCGUAGAAUGUUUUCCAACCUAAGAAGUUCGAAAACUUAAGUUCGAGACGAGUCCUGAGAGUUUUCACUCUCGGGGACCGGUCCCUGAAAGGAGAGACCGGUCCUCCAGUGAACAGUGCUGCGCAACCGGCGAGGCAACCAGUCCAGCGCAGGGAGAGACCGGUUCCCGAACGUUGGUUUUUCGGGUUUGCAGCGAGAGACCGGUCCCUGCUGGGGAGAGACCGAUCCCUCUGGGCGAAAACUGCCCAGACCGGGCUAAUGUAAUAUUGUUUUUUUUUGAGGGGCCGCUUGGAAUUUUGUUGCAAUAGAUGGUCUAUAUGACCCAUCCACCCUCCCUUCUCCUCAUUUCCCUCCUCAUACUCUCCCCACACCCUUGCUAGAGAGAGAAGAAGGAGAAGAAGAGGAAGGAGAAGAAGAGGAGAAGGAUCUAGCUUGGGCUUGAAGCAUUCCUUUGCCUUUCUUCCUCUUCCCACCUUGUUGGUGCUUGAAGGCUUGGACUUGGAGCUUGCAAAGGAGAAGAUCUUCACCCUUGGAGCUUGGAUUGGAGUUCUCUUGAGGUUGGUUGUUUGUUUCUUCCCUCUAGACCUAGCUUUGAUGGAUUUUAGGGGAUGAAAUCCUAGAAUGGGAAAUCUAGGGUUUAUUUGGGGCUUUUUGAUUGAAGGCUUUUUGGGCUAAUCUAAUGAGAUUAGAACCUUGGUUUAGGUUGCUUUGGAAAGAUCCUAGCCUUCUUUUCGAGCUUGAGAGAGAGAUUCUACUCCUUAGGUGAGUUUUAGCCCUAUUCUUGUGAUUGUUAAUGUUUGAGCCUAGAGUUGCUCGUAAUGCUUGUGUAUCUCUUCGCUGAUCACUUUUAGGGUAUUUUGAGACUCGUGGACAACUUCGUUCGGCGAAAUGAAGCCUUACACGACGGUUCGGUGGGUUUGACCUAGCCUUUAAUAUGAGAAAUUCUCAUAUAUGGUGAUAAAUGCUUCGUAAAUUGGAAAAGCAUGCAUAUUCACACUAAAUGUAUUUAU
This 16132-nucleotide long non-coding RNA is filed under the name Ananas comosus (pineapple). Its description in RNAcentral is "long non-coding RNA (ACOM_LNC041897)". The record is from RNAcentral. Lineage: Eukaryota; Viridiplantae; Streptophyta; Magnoliopsida; Poales; Bromeliaceae.